GACGAACGCUGGCGGCGUGCUUAACACAUGCAAGUCGAACGGAAAGGCCCUGCUUUUGUGGGGUGCUCGAGUGGCGAACGGGUGAGUAACACGUGAGUAACCUGCCCUUGACUUUGGGAUAACUUCAGGAAUCUGGGGCUAAUACCGGAUAGGAGCUCCUGCUGCAUGGUGGGGGUUGGAAAGUUUCGGCGGUUGGGGAUGGACUCGCGGCUUAUCAGCUUGUUGGUGGGGUAGUGGCUUACCAAGGCUUUGACGGGUAGCCGACCUGAGAGGGUGACCGGCCCAACUGGAACUGAGACACGGUCCAGACGCCUAAGGGAGGAAGCAGGAGGGAAUCUGCCGCAAUGGGCGAAAGCCUGACGGAGCAACGCCGCGUGAGGGAUGAAGGUCUUCGGAUCGUAAAACUCUGUUAUUAGGGAAGAACAAAUGUGUAAGUAACUAUGCACGUCUUGACGGUACCUAAUCAGAAAGCCACGGCUAACUACGUG
Molecule: ribosomal RNA, 488 nt
Filed under: uncultured bacterium
Lineage: Bacteria
Description: partial 16S ribosomal RNA
Rfam family: Bacterial small subunit ribosomal RNA
Source: RNAcentral